This 415-nucleotide ribosomal RNA is filed under the name bacterium enrichment culture clone ALO1_GLFRUDD03FXQ5O. Its description in RNAcentral is "bacterial SSU rRNA". It matches the Rfam family "Bacterial small subunit ribosomal RNA", at positions 9 to 429 of the family's 1533-position model. The record is from RNAcentral.
GAGUUUGAUCGUGGCUCAGAUUGAACGCUGGCGGCAUGCCUUACACAUGCAAGUCGAACGGCAGCACGGGAGCUUGCUCCUGGUGGCGAGUGGCGAACGGGUGAGUAAUGCAUCGGAACGUAUCCUGGAGUGGGGGAUAACGUAGCGAAAGUUACGCUAAUACCGCAUAUUCUGUGAGCAGGAAAGCGGGGGACCUUCGGGCCUCGCGCUCUUGGAGCGGCCGAUGUCGGAUUAGCUAGUUGGUGAGGUAAAGGCUCACCAAGGCGACGAUCCGUAGCAGGUCUGAGAGGAUGAUCUGCCACACUGGAACUGAGACACGGUCCAGACUCCUACGGGAGGCAGCAGUGGGAUUUUGGACAAUGGGGCAACCCUGAUCCAGCCAUGCCGCGUGAGUGAAGAAGGCCUCGGUUGUAAG